AGUACUCUGAGAGUCGGUGUGAUGCCCUGGACGUGGCCUUUCCAGGAGGUUUACUUCUCAGAAUGACCUUGGUGUUCUCGUUUCCUGGGGAUGCCUUCAGAAAUGCAGCCAAGGAAGCAGCAUGGCGGGCAGUGUAGCUCUCCUGGCUGGAAGAAGUUGGACUUUUAGGGACGAGUGGCUGGGCCUGGCUUUAACAGGCUCUGACCCUAAUGACCCAGUGACAGCAAUGCAGGAAGAAAAGCAACCUCUAAAGUUACCGUGUGUAAAACAGAAGCGGCAAGGACAUCACACAGGAACCAACCAGCCCGGCAAUGGCUCCUCUCAUGCUUCUCCCCCACCAUGGCUUUCCGGCAGAGAGAAGGUAUGGAAUGGAAGGAUUCUGGAAUGCGGAUAAGUCUUGCUUUAUAAGCCAGCUCUAACAAGUCACCGGCCCUGAAUGUUUGCGAUUCUUUCCUGAUGAAGACCCUGCCUGUUGUCUCUGGAGUUAAAGGGAAGGAAUGUCAUGAUUAAUUAGCCAUGUUUGCCAUGGUCAGGAAAUGGGAAAUGACAGCCGACCUGCCAGAAAUGGACCAAUUCUAGGGCAAGAUGAUUGCUCUGCCUCCUGUGGCUAUCAAUCAAUCUUGCUCAACCCAGCCAUGUCUGCACUGCACAUUGUGCCAGUGAAAGGCAGAAGCCAAUGUGGAGCUGACUCGAUGCCAACGUUAAUGGUGCUUGCUGUGCUAGAGACCAGGUGUUUACUAAUCGAUUUUUCUUUUCCCCUGGGCAUGCUCAUGGAGCUGGACUGUAUUUUUCCAGCCCCACACCACUGAGUUUGUGCCAGAGACCAGAUUCCAUGGAUGCAAUGCAAGCUGAAGUGAUAGGAGUCCUUUCUGCUAGGUGCGGUAGAGCCUUCUUUGUGCAAAGCCAAAUUAUCUUCCUGACUUACUACCCUCUGCUCCCUCCUUCCCCUCCCCCUCUCUUCUCCCUCUUUGCUCCCUCCUUCUUCUCCUCUUCCUCCUUUUCUGGGUAGAUGCAUUGGGAGGUAUAGGCUAAUACUUGGCAUCUAUGGACACCAAUAAAAAUGACAUCUGAGGAGAUGGGGAGAUGGCUCACUCAGUAGGGUGCUGACCUUGCAAAAAGAAGGAGUUCUAGCUCCAAAAUCAUGUUAAAAAAAAAAAAAGCCGGCCGUACUUGGUACAUAAGUCACUCCAGGACUGGUGUAACCCUGGAGCUUGAUGGUCAGAAAUUUAGCUAACCAGGCAAGUUUCUGGCCAGUGAGUGAUGUUGUCACUUAAAAAGUACUUUAAGGGGCUGGAGAGAUGGCUCAGCGGUUAAGAGCAUUGCCUGCUCUUCCAAAGGUCCUGAGUUCAAUUCCCAGCAACCACAUGGUGGCUCACAACCAUCUGUAAUGAGGUCUGGUACCCUCUUCUGGCCUGU
Alexandromys fortis (reed vole) is the source of this 1416-nucleotide long non-coding RNA. RefSeq lists it as uncharacterized. The transcript has 3 exons. The record is from RefSeq and is a predicted model, not a curated record. NCBI's taxonomy places the organism in Eukaryota, Metazoa, Chordata, Mammalia, Rodentia, Cricetidae.